UGCAGGUCGAACGGUAAGGCCCUUCGGGGUACACGAGUGGCGAGCGGGUGAGUAACACGUGGGUGAUCUGCCCUGCACUUCGGGAUAAGCCUGGGAAACUGGGUCUAAUACCGGAUAGGACCAUGGACUUCACGGUUUGUGGUGGAAAGCUUUUGCGGUGUGGGAUGGGCCCGCGGCCUAUCAGCUUGUUGGUGGGGUAAUGGCCUACCAAGGCGACGACGGUAGCCGGCCUGAGAGGGUGUCCGGCCACACUGGGACUGAGAUACGGCCCAGACUCCUACGGGCGGCAGCAGUGGGGAAUAUUGCACAAUGGGCGCAAGCCUGAUGCAGCGACGCCGCGUGAGGGAUGACGGCCUUCGGGUUGUAAACCUCUUUCAAUAGGGACGAAGCGCAAGUGACGGUACCUAUAGAAGAAGCACCGGCCAACUACGUG
This 433-nucleotide ribosomal RNA is filed under the name uncultured bacterium. Its description in RNAcentral is "bacterial SSU rRNA". It matches the Rfam family "Bacterial small subunit ribosomal RNA", at positions 56 to 507 of the family's 1533-position model. The record is from RNAcentral.